GCCUACCCAGAAAGUCCAGAGGAAGCCUGCUUGAGAGAACUAUUCUGAAAACAGCGUGGGCAGCCUUCUGCCCUCUCCAACUCUGAGGAAGGUAGCUCAGAGAUUUUAAGAACCCUGAGCAGCAACUGGGUGGCCACAACAGAAACAGGAACUACCUGGGUGACGUCCACAGUGGGCACCUCGCCCAGAGCGUGAAGGGCAGUGCAGCAGCUGGACGAAGAGAGAAGAGGAGGAACGGAGCCCAGCAGAGCUGAGCAGAGCUGAGCCCAGCCAGAUCCAGCCAUGUGCUUCGUGUUGGCAACAAACCGGCUCUUUGGAGAGAGGAGGAGUCUGACAAAAAGGACAGCUGCAGCACAGCACAAGCAGAGAGGCAAUAUGCUUGAGAAAGCCCUGAGAUUGGGGUUAUCCCCAUAAGUUAAAACAAAAAACAAACCACCUUUGGGGUUUGCAGAACUACUUAGUCUAUUAACACCCCCUCCCCUCAUUGCGGGAUCAAUUAAACAGUCUGUCCACAUCUGGUUUCCAUCU
RNAcentral lists this long non-coding RNA (528 nucleotides) under Rattus norvegicus (Norway rat). RNAcentral's name for it is "long non-coding RNA NONRATT001291". The record is from RNAcentral. Lineage: Eukaryota; Metazoa; Chordata; Mammalia; Rodentia; Muridae.